UACGUAGGGGGCAAGCGUUGUCCGGAAUCAUUGGGCGUAAAGAGCGUGUAGGCGGCUUGGCAAGUCUGACGUGAAAGCCCGCGGCUCAACCGCGGAUCGUCGUUGGAAACUGCCUCGCUAGAGUCCGGAAGAGGAGAGCGGAAUUCCUGGUGUAGCGGUGAAAUGCGCAGAUAUCAGGAAGAACACCCGUGGCGAAGGCGGCUCUCUGGGACGGUACUGACGCUGAGACGCGAAAGCGUGGGGAGCGAACAGG
RNAcentral lists this ribosomal RNA (253 nucleotides) under uncultured bacterium. RNAcentral's name for it is "partial 16S ribosomal RNA". It matches the Rfam family "Bacterial small subunit ribosomal RNA", at positions 524 to 776 of the family's 1533-position model. The record is from RNAcentral.